Long non-coding RNA from Helianthus annuus (common sunflower), 235 nucleotides. RefSeq lists it as uncharacterized. The record is from RefSeq and is a predicted model, not a curated record. NCBI's taxonomy places the organism in Eukaryota, Viridiplantae, Streptophyta, Magnoliopsida, Asterales, Asteraceae. The transcript has 3 exons.
CGGCCGUCGACUAUACCUGUAAAGGUUACUUUACUGGGCAUGUUGACCCUUUUCCAUCAAUACAUACUGUUGACGAGGUUUACGUACCGUUGUAUAUAGAAGGUGCUCACUGGUUUUUAGGCGUUUUCAACCUGCUCAAUUACACGCUAACGAUAUACGACAGCCUUUUAAAUGCUUUCGAAAAGGAAAGAACGGAUGUGGUGUGUCAUAUAAAUUUUGUGUUUAACCACUGGCU